CCUACGGGAGGCAGCAGUGAGGAAUAUUGGUCAAUGGGCGAGAGCCUGAACCAGCCAAGCCGCGUGAGGGAUGACGGAACUGGGUAUCGUAAACUUCUUUUGUAAGGGAAUAAAGGCUGGUACGUGUUCCCGGAUGAGUGUACCUGAAGAAGAAGGAUCGGCUAACUCCGUGCCAGCAGCCGCGGUAAUACGGAGGAUGCGAGCGUUAUCCGGAUUUAUUGGGUUUAAAGGGUGCGUAGAGGGGGUGUUAAGUCAGCUGUGAAAGGUCGGGGCUCAACCGUGGAACUGCAAUUGAGACUGGCAGGCUAGAGUACGGGAGAGGUAGGCGGAAUGCGUGGUGUAGCGGUGAAAUGCGUAGAUAUCACGAAGAACUCCGAUUGCGAAGGCAGCCUGCUGGACUGCCACUGACGUUGAGGCUCGAAAGCGUGGGUAGCAAACAGGAUUAGAUACCCGUGUAGUC
Molecule: ribosomal RNA, 460 nt
Filed under: uncultured bacterium
Lineage: Bacteria
Description: partial 16S ribosomal RNA
Rfam family: Bacterial small subunit ribosomal RNA
Source: RNAcentral